GAUGAACGCUGGCGGCGUGCUUAACACAUGCAAGUCGAACGAAGCAUUUGCGACAUUUUUUUUCGGACUGAAGUUGCUUAUGACUGAGUGACGGACGGGUGAGUAACGUGUGGGUAACCUGCCUUGUACUGGGGGAUAGCAUCAGGAAACAGCAGGUAAUACCGCAUAAGCGCCCAUUGUUGCAUGACGUGGUGUGGAAAAGUCUGGUGGUAUAGGAUGGACGCGCGUCUAAUUAGAUAGUUGGUGAUAUAACAGCACACCAAGGCGACGAUCAGUAGCCGAGCUGGGAGCGUGACCCGCCACUAUGGGGGUGAGACACAGCCCAGACUCCUACGCAAGGGAGGAGAGGAGAACAGAGCACAAUGGAGGAAGCUCUGAUGCAGCGACGACGCGUAAGUGAAGAAGUGAUUCGUUAACUAAUGCUCUAUCAGCAGGGAAGAUAGCGACGGUACCUGACUAAGAAGCACCGGCUAACUACGUG
RNAcentral lists this ribosomal RNA (481 nucleotides) under uncultured bacterium. Its description in RNAcentral is "partial 16S ribosomal RNA". It matches the Rfam family "Bacterial small subunit ribosomal RNA", at positions 28 to 507 of the family's 1533-position model. The record is from RNAcentral.